CUGUAGUGGGUAAUGAGAUUAGCCUAGCUGUAUUGGGAAAAAGGGGUAGCCUUGCUGUAGUGGUGACUGGGGUUAGCCUAGCUGUAGUCAGUACUUGGGUUAGCCUAGCUGUAGUGGGUAAUGAGAUUAGCCUAGCUGUAGUGGGUAAUGAGAUUAGCCUAGCUGUAGUGGGUACUGGGGUUAGCCUAGCUGUAGUGGUGACUGGGGUUAGCCUAGCUGUAGUGGGCAAAGGUGGUACAUUUAGCUGUAGUUGGUACUGGGGUUAGCCUAGCUGUAGUGGCAACUGAGGUUAACCUAGCUGUAGUGGGCAAAGGUGGUACAUUUAGCUGUAGUUGGUACUGGGGU
This is a long non-coding RNA of Clupea harengus (Atlantic herring), 345 nucleotides long. Lineage: Eukaryota; Metazoa; Chordata; Actinopteri; Clupeiformes; Clupeidae. The record is from Ensembl.